Molecule: non-coding RNA, 3539 nt
Organism: Odocoileus virginianus texanus
Lineage: Eukaryota; Metazoa; Chordata; Mammalia; Artiodactyla; Cervidae
Source: RefSeq, a predicted model, not a curated record
AUCCCCACGCCGUUCUUUACUGCUCCCAGUCCAGCCAUUCCCGUUCCUGUUUCGGCAGAGCGCUGGCUGCAGUCUGCGAGGAAAGAAGAUGGCGGCAGCUGACGGCGAUGACUCGCUCAACCCCAUCUUGAUCCUCGUAGACGGGCUCCAGAACGACGAUGUUCAGCUUCGCAUCGACAGCAUCAAGAAGCUGCCCAUCAUCGCCUUGGCCCUUGGAGUCGAAAAGACCCGCAAUGAGCUUCUGCCCUUCAUUAUAGACAUCGUGUACGAUGAGGAUGAGGUCCUCUUUGCCCUGGCGGAGGAGCUGGGCACCUUCACGCCUCUGGUCGGAGGUCCCGAGUAUGCUCACUGCCUGCUGCCACCCCUAGAGGUGCUGGCCAUGGUGGAUGAGGCCAUAGUGCGGGACAAGGCGGUGGACUCCCUGCGGGCCAUCUCGCAUGAGCACUCACCCUCCCAUCUCGAGGACCACUUUGUGCCACUUGUGAAGCGACUGGGGGGUGGUGAGUUGGUCACCUCCCGCAUCUCAGCCUGCCGCCUUUUCUCCGUCUGCUACCCUGGCGUGUCCAUUGCUGUCAAGGCGGAACUUCGAAAGUGCUUUCGGGACCUGUGCUCAGAUGACGACGUCUUGGUGCGGUGUGCAGCAGCCUCCAACCUGGGGGAUUUCGCCAAGGUGCUUGAGUUGGACGACAUCGAGAGUGAGAUCAUCCCCAUAUUCUCCAACCUGGCCUGUGACGAGCAGGAUUCGGUGCGGCUGCUAAUGGUGGAAGUGUGUGUGAACAUUGGCCAGCUCCUGCCCCAGGAGGCCCUGGAGGCCCUGGUGAUGAUCACUCUGUGCCAGGCUGCUGAGGACACAUCCUGGCGCGUCCGUUACAUGGUGGCCAACAAGUUCACAGAGCUCCAGACAGCAGUGGGGCCUGAGGUCACCAAGACGGACCUGGUCCCUGCCUUCCAGAACCUGAUCAAAGACUGUGAGCCCGAGGUGAGGGCCGCCGCCUCCCUCAAGCUCAAAGAAUUCUGUGAAAAUCUCUCCGCUGACUAUCGGGAGAAUGUGAUCCUGACCGAGAUCUUGCCUUGCAGCAAGGAGCUGGUCUCGGACACCAACCAGCAUGUCAGGUCAGCCCUGGCCUCCGUCAUCAUGGGCCUCUCCCACAUCCUGGCCAAAGAUAACACCAUCAAGCACCUCAUGCCCGUCUUCCUGGCUCUGCUGAAGGAUGAGUGCCCAGAUGUGCGGCUGAACAUCAUCUCCAACCUCGAUUGCGUGAAAGAGGUGAUUGGCAUCCAGCAGCUGUCCCAGUUCCUGCUCCCCAGCAUCAUGGAGCUUGCGGGGGAUGCCACGUGGCGGGUGCGUCUGGCCAUCGUUGAGUACAUGCCUCUGCUGGCUGGACAGUUUGGGCUGGAGUUCUUUGAUGCUCAGUUCCACUCCUUGUGCAUGUCCUGGCUUGUGGAUCAUGUCUAUGCCAUCCGCGAGGCGGCCACCAACAACCUGAAGAAGCUGGUGGAGCAGUUUGGGAAGGAGUGGGCCCUUGCCACUGUCAUCCCCAGGGUCCUGACCCUGUCUGAGGAACCCAAUUACCUGCACCGCAUGACUGUGCUCUUCUGCAUCAGUGUGCUGUCUAAGGUCUGUGGGCAGGACAUCACCACCAAGCACAUGCUGCCCACAGUGCUGUAUAUGGCUGAGGACCCUGUUGCCAAUGUCCGCUUCAGCGUGGCCAAGUCCCUACAGAAGAUCGGGUCCAUCCUGGACAACAGCACGCUGCAGACCAAGGUCAAGCCCAUCCUGGAGAAGCUGACCCAGGACCAGGACAUGGAUGUCAAGUACUUCGCCCAGGAGGCUCUGACUGUCCUGUCUCUCGCCUGAUGCUGGAAGAGGAGCCAACGCCAGCCUCUGAAUACCAUGCUGCAUCCUGACUCAACAGCUCUGUACCACGGGAACUGAGAUUUGUACCCCAGUGCCUGCCCUGAACAUCGGGUAAUUCAACUGAGAAGUGUCUCUAAAAUCCUGCUGAAAUGACUCCUGGGUCUACCCAUGGAAUGGCUUCUGAAACUCAUAUAUCACAAGUGUUCCUCACUUUCAAAGCAGAAAGGGAAAAAAAAAAAAAAGAAAAGUAGUGAAUUGACUUUUCCCCAGGUCCCUUCCCUGACUUUGAGAGAGCUAUUUGGGUGAGAUAGAAUUCUACUAAUCAAGCUGUUCAAAGACAGCCACUAAAUUAUUGCUUGAUUCCUAUCAUAUACCAGCAUUAUGCUAAAAAUUCUAUAUUCAUUAUUGCAAAUGCUUACAACAGUGUAAGGUAGCACUGCCCCCCACUCCUUACCAGGUGGAAAAAUUUAAGAUUAAACAAUGUUCUCAAGUUGACAAACCAGCAAGGAACAGAGCUAGAAUGUAAACCCUUGUUUGUUUUACUUCAGGGUAUCUAUAAGGGCUCUUCAAAAAAUGGUAGAUUCCUUUCUCACUCUAUCACAUUUCCCGUCACUACACCAUUACCUAUAAAUUAACAGACUACUUCAAAAUGUUUUUUUUUAAUGUUCAAAUUCCCAAAGUAAUGUACACCUUGAUCAACAAAAACCAGCCCAUGAAUCUGUAUACAUAUUCCUUUUGUCUGAAUGAUAGUAACAGCUAGCACUUACCGUUUAUGUUUGCCACCGUUUAGCGUAUGCGUAUUAACUCAUUCAGGCCUGUGAACUAGGUGAUGGUAACGUCCCUAUUUCACAGUUGAAGAAGCAAGCACAGAGAGCCUAAGUAAAUGGCCCAAGACCAUACCGGCAGACCCAUGAUGAGAAUCUAGGCAGUCUGGCUGCAGAGCCCAAGCUCUUGGCAUCAUGUUUUACUGCCUCUCAACAAUUAGAAUAAUUGUGUAAGUUCUCCACUUAACUUUGCAUGUAUGAAUAACUUCAGGAUCUAGUCAGUUCCUUUGAUAUCUGAAGCUACCAAAACCAUUUACCGAAAAACAAGGAGUAACAUGUUGCUUGUGCAUCAUACUCUCUGAUUACUCAUCACACUUUAGUGUCUGGCUCUUUUUCAACUUAAAGCUGGAAGACAUAAAAUUCUUCAGGUUACUGUAGAGGUCACACUUGUCUGAAAAGGGUAUAUUUCAGGAUAAAGUUAGAAUCUUUUUCCAAGAAAAUCAUCUCUCCUCCCAUAACAACAAAUACUGUUUUACUCCAUUUGGGGAGCAUUCUUUAGAUUCUGGCAGGAAUGUAGUAUUCCAAAAUCAGGGUUUAUCACCUAAAGCCUGCAGUAAAGUUAUUUUUUUUUUUUUGAGCUGGGGAAAAGCCUGCAGUAAAGUUAUUUUUUUUUUUUUUGAGCUGGGGAAGUAUACUUUAUUUCAGUGACAAGUAUUUUAAUAAAAAUUAAGAGGCAUGGUUGGGUUCAUAUGUAAUAGUUUUUAAUACAACAUAGUUUUAUUUCUUCCAUAUAUAUGUGUAUAUGUAGGUAGAAUAAAGUAAAACAACUGAGUGUCUUUUUAAUGUUCAUCAAAAGUGCUCACUCUUAUAUACUACAUGUUGAACAAUCCCAUAUGUUAUAACUUUCUGGUGAGAAU